GGGCUACUCGUUCGGGUAUGAAAGAUACUGCUAGCCGAUCAGAAGUUAGGGCUCCUGCUCGUACUUAUGCCAUUCGAGCGAGAGAAGAAGCAACAGCUCCAGAUGUAAUUGCUGAUCAAGAAAACGAACUGAAUCGUGGAAAGGAGAAAAUUCAAGAAUAGUCCCUGAAUUUCUACGACUUUUGCAAAUUAGUCCAGAUUGACUUGAAGUGAAGUGGGUAGAUCGGAUCAACACAACAGGGCACACUAUUCAGAUCAAUUCCGGUAGUUUUUGUUUUAUGUUUAAAGAUUUAUAUGGCAUGUAUAGAGUUUGAAUGAAUUGAAGUAAAGAUGUUAUAAACUAGUUAACAAUAUUUGUACUAAAA
Long non-coding RNA from Gossypium arboreum, 364 nucleotides. RefSeq lists it as uncharacterized. The record is from RefSeq and is a predicted model, not a curated record. NCBI's taxonomy places the organism in Eukaryota, Viridiplantae, Streptophyta, Magnoliopsida, Malvales, Malvaceae. The transcript is spliced from 3 exons.